Molecule: transfer RNA, 67 nt
Filed under: Escherichia coli
Lineage: Bacteria; Pseudomonadati; Pseudomonadota; Gammaproteobacteria; Enterobacterales; Enterobacteriaceae
Also listed under: 3 other names
Description: tRNA-Gln
Rfam family: tRNA
About the family: Transfer RNA (tRNA) molecules are approximately 80 nucleotides in length. Their secondary structure includes four short double-helical elements and three loops (D, anti-codon, and T loops).
Source: RNAcentral
GGGUAUCGCCAAGCGGUAAGGCACCGGAUUCUGAUUCCGGCAUUCCGAGGUUCGAAUCCUCGUACCC